Molecule: ribosomal RNA, 406 nt
Filed under: uncultured bacterium
Lineage: Bacteria
Description: partial 16S ribosomal RNA
Rfam family: Bacterial small subunit ribosomal RNA
Source: RNAcentral
AUUGAACGCUAGCGGCAGGCCUAACACAUGCAAGUCGAACGAGUGGCGGACGGGUGAGUAAUAUAUCGGAACGUGCCUGGUGGAGGGGGAUAACUACUGGAAAGGGUGGCUAAUACCGCAUACCAUCGGCGCGGCCGAGAUUGGAUUAGCUAGUUGGUGGGGUAACGGCUCACCAAGGCAACGAUCCCUAGCUGGUUUGAGAGGAUGACCAGCCACACUGGGACUGAGACACGGCCCAGACUCCUACGGGAGGCAGCAGUGGGGAAUUUUGGACAAUGGGCGAAAGCCUGAUCCAGCCAUGCCGCGUGUAUGAUGAAGGCCUUCGGGUUGUAAAGUACUUUUGGCAGGGAAGCGGUAUCUGCAGAAUAAGCACCGGCUAACUCCGUGCCAGCAGCCGCGGUAAUAC